This is a long non-coding RNA of Apis cerana (Asiatic honeybee), 679 nucleotides long. RefSeq lists it as uncharacterized. The record is from RefSeq and is a predicted model, not a curated record. Lineage: Eukaryota; Metazoa; Arthropoda; Insecta; Hymenoptera; Apidae.
CUAUAUUGUUCAAUCUUUGCUUGUAUUGUGUCAACUGGCCUAUCUGACACGAUCACGACAGGAUUUUCCUCCCAUUGAUCCCAGUGCUCUAAUUCCUUGAGCAAGCAUCUUCAGUAAUUACUAUUAUCGGAGUCAAUGGUGUUCGGUACUACGCCAAUAGCAGAUAAGGGAAUAGAAUCACAGGAUGAUCUUCUUCGACGUCGAAAACAGCACAUUGCUCGCCGAAAUACUCCCAAAAGAAAUACGACGAGUGCUUUCAAUCGAUUUACUAAAAAUUCUAUUGCCAUUGUAAUAUCGGCAUAAAACCUAACCUUUUUUGUAUAAUGUUAGGAAAAUGUAUAAGAAAUGAUUUUAUAUAUUGUGACAAUUUAAGAUUGAUCAAAUGCCAUUUUAUUGAAAAAUUUUUAGAACGAUGUAAUUAUCUUGUUAUUUUAUACUUGUUUUAUAAAUAUUAAUAACAAGCAAGUAGUACUUCGUUCGGCAUGCACUUAUGAAAUAAUAAAAAGGUUAUCGAAAAAUAUCGAUUAAAAUCUGUAUGUCGAUUGUCGACUUAUUUCAACAGGUUUCUAUCGCUAUUGGUCACAAUUUGAUUUGAUUGCUUUUAAUCGCAAUUUGAAUUUGAAAUUUCUCUAUUAUUGAGAAAUAAAUUUAUGUACGAAAUAAAUUAAUUAAAAUAAAA